This 200-nucleotide unclassified non-coding RNA is filed under the name Chaetomium sp. Its description in RNAcentral is "partial internal transcribed spacer 2". The record is from RNAcentral. Lineage: Eukaryota; Fungi; Ascomycota; Sordariomycetes; Sordariales; Chaetomiaceae.
UUAAGUUCAGCGGGUCCUCCUACCUGAUCCGAGGUCAACCUAGUGCUUGAGAAGAGGCUGUUUUACGGCCGGAACCCGCGGCACGCCCUGAGCGAGGUUUAUUGCUACUACGCUCGGUGUGCCCGCGAGCCCGCCACUGCAUUUCGGGGCCUGCGGGCAGCCGCAGUUCCCCAACACAAGCCGGGGGCUUGAUGGUUGAA